UUAGUUAACUGGACAGGGUCUAUGGAUGAUCAAUAAGACUCAUGGCCUAGACCGAUGGCUCACAUUGCAUGUAGUGAGCAUGUCGGUCUAUCGUCUCUUUUUUGUUGAAAAAUGAAUGUCAUAAUUAGUGUUAGAGCCUUAGAGGGGUACACGCUCGCGCGACCACUAU
Small nuclear RNA from Triticum dicoccoides, 169 nucleotides. RefSeq annotates it as U1 spliceosomal RNA. The transcript has a single exon. The record is from RefSeq and is a predicted model, not a curated record. NCBI's taxonomy places the organism in Eukaryota, Viridiplantae, Streptophyta, Magnoliopsida, Poales, Poaceae.